UACGAAGGGGGCUAGCGUUGCUCGGAAUUACUGGGCGUAAAGGGCGCGUAGGCGGCAAUUCAAGUCAUCUGUGAAAUCUCCGGGCUUAACUCGGAACUGUCAGAUGAUACUGCUUUGCUAGAGUGCAGAAGGGGCAAUCGGAAUUCUUGGUGUAGCGGUGAAAUGCGUAGAUAUCAAGAGGAACACCUGAGGUGAAGACGGGUUGCUGGGCUGACACUGACGCUGAGGCGCGAAAGCCAGGGGAGCAAACGGG
This 253-nucleotide ribosomal RNA is filed under the name uncultured bacterium. Its description in RNAcentral is "partial 16S ribosomal RNA". It matches the Rfam family "Bacterial small subunit ribosomal RNA", at positions 524 to 776 of the family's 1533-position model. The record is from RNAcentral.